UAAAUCAACAAAUUAUUUCAAGUUCUAUACUUCAAAUGAUUCAUUCCGGAGAAAGUCGUUAUAUUUUUCACUGGAUACUUUUAGACACCUUUAUAAGUGAUUUUAUGAAUUCUUGCAUACCUAAUAUAUAUUUUGCGCACUCAAUUAGAGGGAGACAUUGGUUAAGGGCGAAUGUGGUGCCCUACAACGGCACGUUCCACCUCCGUGCAUCACUGGGAAACCACCUACGAAGCGUCACAUCCUCGGGUUAAGGAUGCCACCUCGACGGCCGUUAAACGCGGCACUUGACAGUCGACCGUCUGUGUGAAAGUAUCUCGUAUCCUGGCAUCCUUUGUUUUUUAUGCUCGCCGCUCGAAAGACAAAGCGUGUAUGAAAUGUGCACCACAGGGAGAAAUGGAGAAAGGGAAAGGCGGGACAUCAUAAAAAGAAUAUCCUGCAUACGCAGUCGGUAGUGGAAUGAAUUUUUCCUGCCAUUUACGAGCUCAACUCAAAUGGCCUGCAGUGAUUCCUGCCCUUGCCUGCCGCACAUACUCCGUGUUAUCUGUCAGAAAGCGCUGGCGAGACUGUCACUUGCAGUGCCGACAUUUUGCCAGCGAAAUUGAGUACCCGAGGGCAAUUUGAUUUAUCUCAGGUUAAGGCGUAGAAUUUCGGCUGGAGGUGUAUUUUUUGCAAGUCAUGUUAAAGUUCAGCUCAGCUGGAGUUAUAUCCCUCGAUUGU
Drosophila gunungcola (fruit fly) is the source of this 717-nucleotide long non-coding RNA. RefSeq lists it as uncharacterized. The record is from RefSeq and is a predicted model, not a curated record. The transcript is spliced from 3 exons. NCBI's taxonomy places the organism in Eukaryota, Metazoa, Arthropoda, Insecta, Diptera, Drosophilidae.